This 835-nucleotide long non-coding RNA is filed under the name Apteryx owenii (little spotted kiwi). RNAcentral describes it as "lncRNA (ENSAOWG00000006927.1)". Lineage: Eukaryota; Metazoa; Chordata; Aves; Apterygiformes; Apterygidae. The record is from RNAcentral.
CUCAUUUAUGAAUGCAGUGUUCUCUUAGGCCAGCUGGGAAUACAGCGACACUUCUCUACAGCCAUGAACGUCUGGACCUCGCUCUGAGGCAAGGUCACCAGGGAUCCCUUGGCCACUUUGGCACCCAGGAUUUAGGGCUGUCGCCAAUCACCGGACCGCAGGCAGCUGGCCUGGAGGGAGCUGCAUGCCGAGGCCAGGGCUGGGCUGCCAACGAGCUCUGCUGCAGCAGAGCAAAUUGUAUCAGAAAGUCCCGUAGCCACACUCUCGAGGUCCUUCAGCUCUACUUGGCAACCCAUCAAUGCUGGGGUUAAUUCCUUUGUCCUAGACGACACACUCUAAGGGCACGUCUGGGACCUGCUGUAAUGUUACACAUUAAUUAUUUAGUAUGACCAGAAAGGAACUUUGCAUCAUGUUCUGGGUAAUAGAUUUAUGGUGCUUCCUGCUGGGCUUUGCACCGCUGCUGCAGCAGGAGCAACAGCAAGGCCACGGCAACAGCAAUUGCUCUGGAAAAAAAGAAAGAUAGCAAAUAGAAGCAAGCUCCUGGUCACAUUCAUUGGGAACGAAGUCCUGCAGCAGGGUACACCCCGUGCCUACAUUUCGCCUGUAGAAAGCAGAAGUGCCUCUCUUCAGAGGAGCCGGACUCUCCGGAGGGAGGAGGCAGGUGUCACGCCAAAGGCUCCGGCACUUCAGCAGGAUGCCUGAGGCUGCAGCGAGGCUUGGCAGAGCUCCCGGGGCUGGCAGCGCCCUCCUCCCUCCUUGUGCUUGCCGUGGAGGUGCACACGAGACGGGCACGGAUGCCAGCUUCAGACAAUAAACCUUCAUGCUGCUUUCCCCA